CUGGAGGCAGCAGUGGGGAAUAUUGGGCAAUGGGCGCAAGCCUGACCCAGCAACGCCGCGUGAGGGAAGAAGGUCUUCGGAUUGUAAACCUCUGUCCUUGGGGACGAAAAAAAUGACGGUACCCAAGGAGGAAGCUCCGGCUAACUACGUGCCAGCAGCCGCGGUAAUACGUAGGGAGCGAGCGUUGUCCGGAAUUACUGGGCGUAAAGGGUGCGUAGGCGGCGCUGUAAGUCAGGUGUGAAAUCCCCGGGCUUAACCCGGGUCCUGCAUUUGAAACUGCAGUGCUUGAGUGCAGGAGAGGAAAGCGGAAUUCCUAGUGUAGCGGUGAAAUGCGUGGAUAUUAGGAAGAACACCAGUGGCGAAGGCGGCUUUCUGGACUGUAACUGACGCUGAGGCACGAAAGCGUGGGGAGCAAACAGGAUUAGAUACCCCUGUAGUCCC
This 441-nucleotide ribosomal RNA is filed under the name uncultured bacterium. RNAcentral's name for it is "bacterial SSU rRNA". It matches the Rfam family "Bacterial small subunit ribosomal RNA", at positions 342 to 797 of the family's 1533-position model. The record is from RNAcentral.